This is a non-coding RNA of Equus caballus (horse), 14603 nucleotides long. The record is from RefSeq and is a predicted model, not a curated record. NCBI's taxonomy places the organism in Eukaryota, Metazoa, Chordata, Mammalia, Perissodactyla, Equidae.
GUGGUUGUAGGAGUUCCUCUGCUGCAGGAAGGCGGCGGCCGCCGCCUGGUGCUGCUGCUGGAGCUGCGGGCUGACGGGCGACCUCCGGCUCUGCGGCUGCUGUGGCGCCGCGGGCGGCGGGGGCUGCUGCUGAGUCUUGCUUCCUGUGAGUCCAGUUGUCUGCCCUAUCACUCAAGAAGAUAGAAAGCCCUGGAAGGUGGCUGGGGAAGAAUAUGGAGACAGUGGCUGUGGAAAAAGCAAGAAGACUUUUUGACCAGCAGGACAUAUUUCCUUGUGGGAAUUAGGAACUUUGUUCUGAUGAGUGCACUGGGGCACAGGAGUGUUAAGCAGCUUGCCUAAAACCACGGAGCUAAUAGUAAACAGAAUCCCAGAGCUCCCGGUCUCAAUCCACUGUGCUAAAAUUGUGGUGAGUCUCAUGGCUUCGUCUCCACUAAACUGGAAAAGACUUCCAAGAAGUGGUGGGACUUUAGAAAAUCUUUGAAAGGUCAGUUGAGGAAGUCCUUUAAAGUGUCAGUGGGUCUGAUACAGUUUCCAGUUCUCCUCUCUAAUGGACCAGUGGGCCCCUUCAUCAAUACGGCAAUGGUUUGAACUGAAACAUUAGUUCUUCCUGGGUCUCAAGCCUGUGGGCCUCCAGACUGGAAGUACACCGUUGGCUCUCCUGGGUCUCCAGCUUGCCAAUUUACCCUGCGGAUCUUGGGAUUUGCCAGCUGCCAUAAUUUUGUAGGGAAAACCAGAAGCACAAGAGGGUUAGAGUCCCUGGAAGCAGCGCUCCCACCUCAACCAAUGGUGAAUAGGAGGUGAUAAAUAGCCCAGCGUCAUCACCCAAUGGCAGUACCACUUGGAAGCAAGCUCUGCAAUAUGUCCCAGAGUUCUCAGGUAGGACUGAGCCCCAAGAAUUACCCAGCAUGAUAACACAGCUGUUAUUACCUUCCUUCUUUGCCCAAUCUCACUUCCCCACUCCUCUACCAGUUGUCCUGGGAUUGUCUCCAAAUAGAGCUCUUGCAUGCUCAUCCUGGUCUCAGAGUCUGCUUCUAGGAGAAUCACAGCUAAAGUAGCGACUCUUCUUUCAGAGCAGGGCUGCAUUCAGCCAAAGUCUGACAUGUAGUUGGACUUGGUAAAUGUUGAACAAAUGAAUUAAUGAAUAAAUAAAUGAAUGGUGAGGUGUGAAUGACUGAUAGCACACUUCUACCGUAUGUUUUUUUUUUUUCUUAAACACAAAAUGCCUCUAAAUAAUCACAUUUUGGAGGAGAAAAUUAUAAUCUGGGAAAUAACUGACAGGUGAUUUGGCCUCUGGGAAAUGGGAGAUACCAAGCCUGGCCUGGGAGGAAAAGAAGAAGCUGUGUUAAUGGCCUCACCUUCUCCCUUUCCUACACUGGAUCAUCCUCCCCUAUUGUAUCUACAAUGACCCCAAUAACAGCCUGCCAUUCCUCUGUGGCAAUUUUGAUCAGAUUCAAAGAUUUCUUGGAGAAUGUAUUAUCAAGAUAAAGACUAAGGAGACCUGACAAAUUGUAUGUAGUUCUCACAAAAGUAGUGGCAUCUAUUUAUUCAUUUCUUCAAUUCAUUUUUGUAAAUGCAUUCAUUCAAUAAUUUACUUAUUCAUUAAUUUUUUCAUUCAUUAAUUGAUUAAUUCCCUCCCUCCUUCACUGACUCAAAAACUUUUGUUCAGAAGAACAGGUAAUUAAGCACAUGGUCCCUAGAGACCGAAUUCUUUGGUUGGCAUCCUGGCUGUAUGAUCUUGGGCGAAGUACUUAACCUAUCUGUGCUUCCAUCUCUUCAUGUGUACAAUGGGUAUAAAUGGUAUCUUUUCUUGAGCAGAUUACGUGAAUAGUGCCUAGAACAGUGACUGCAUACAACCAGAGGCAUAGCAGUAGUCACCUAUCCUGCUUCUUGAACCAUCAGUCUGUGCUGGGUAUUGUUCACGCCUCAUACACUUUAUGUUUCACUUUCAUUUUCGUAUUUCUAGUUUUCCUCUCCAUAACAGAAAAAUUGCAUCAGCCUGAGGGAACUUAGUUUCCCCACUUCCUGAUCAGUCCUGAAAUUUUAACCUCACACAUCUCUAUCCUGACUGCUCCUAGUGGGCAAGCGUGUCCACUUCACCUUUCCAACUCUGCUUGCCCAGAGCCUUCAACUGCACUUUAGCUGUCUCAAGUCUCCCUGCCCUCUUUCGGUUUCCAACAGUUCCUGCUUCACUUCUGCUCCUCCCACAAAGCUCAACCCUUUCUGCUGGGUGUGAGGAGAUUAACCAAGAAAAACAGAUGACGCAAACAGCUUCCAAGGAGGAGUUCAUCUUGGGGGCUCUACUGUUUAGAUGGUACUUUUGCCCUCUUCUUCGCUUACAACAACCCUAACUUGGCUUCCACUCUGACACCUAAUUAGGUUAGUAGCUAUCCUUGUCCUUUUUUCCCUCUGGAUUGAAAAUAGCCAAGGGUCAGGGUCAGGUUGGGGGGAAGAAAGGUCAGCUCCCUGCAGCUCUGGAUUGGUCAAGAAGAGAUGGGACCCUGGCUUAGUGGAAAUGGAAAACAGAAUGUGUGCAGAAGGGUGUUGUCCACCUUAGCAGAAACCACAUCCUUAGAGUUCACAUUUACAGUUGAUAUUGUUAACCCUUUACAGUCCGAUCAGUAGGUUGAAAGAGCCCCCAAAUACAAAUUAACAUCACUACGGUUCAUAGAAAGUAUAGGAUGAUCUAUGGGCAUGAGGUUAUGAGGGCAUUGAUAGCCUAACUUUAUUGAGAAGCAUUAGAGGGUGGUCCUUAAUAGCAUAGAUUCUGUUGCCAAAAUACCUAUGGAGAAUCUCUACUCUGUUUUGUACUGGUAGACUGAAGUUGGGCAAGUUAAUGUAGACUUACAUAUGUAAGGAUUUAGAUAUAUAAAUUGAAGAUGACAAUAAAGUACAUGUGCCCUAGGGUUGAUAGGAUGAUCAAAUGGAUCCACCCAUGUAUGGCACUAAUGUGGUAUGAAUGCCUCAUAGCUAUUAAGCACUUACUGUGCGCCAGGCACAGUUCUAAGAACUCUCUGCUCAUAGGACUGGGCGUGAACUAGGGCUGGAUUCAGUUUGGCAGAGUGGAACAGUAUAAACCUAAAAUAACAGCAGUUUAGAAAAGGUAGAAGUUUAUUUCUCUCUUAUAUAAAAGAAGUCCAGAGGUAGAAAGCCGAGUGCUGGUGUGGCUAUUCUCUGGUCAUCUGGGAUCUUAGACUCCUUCUAGAUCAAGUACUUCAUCAUUCAAGCAUUAGUUUUUAUCCUCCAGGUCACCUCUUGUUCUAUGGAGCUCUAAAUAUUGUGUCCUUAUCCCAGGAAGCAGGAAGAUGAUAAGGUAUUAGGGGAAAAAGGAUGUAACUUCUAGGUAAGUGAGCUCCCCUUAAGGAGUUUUCUCAGAGGUCCCACAUACAACUUGAACUUACAUCUUGUUGAAGAGGACUUAGUCAUCUUGUCCUGCCUAGCUGCCAGGAAGGCUGGGAAAUGUAACCAUUCAUCUGGGUGUAUCACCACCUUGAAUAACCAGGGGGUCUGCUACUAAGGCAAAAGGGGACAGAUGAUAUUGGGUAGCCAUCAAAUAUUUUCUCUUUAGCUCCCCAACAUCCCAACCUACAUUUUUCCAUAUGUAGAAUGUAACACCUCUCCAAGAGAGAAGACUCCAAUAUCUCAUCCAGGUAGCGUAUUUUGUUGAAAUCUAGGAUCUCAGAAGAUGUGUAGUUCUCUCCACCAGAUCCGAUUAUGUCUCCUUGAACUCCAUUGACCUAUAAACUAAAAUAACGUAUCUGCUUCUCACUUCCCACACACCCAACAAUCGGUGGUGAAGCAGAAACAGUAUACCUGCAGAAUGAACCCCCAUUCUGUAAAGGGGAGGAUGGGACAACCACAGCAGCCACCAGUUCAUGGACAACGACAACUCCCAUGGGGCAGGCCCUUGUUUAAAAACUUAGAAGCUUUUGUUCUAUAUGCUUCUGGAAAGUUUCAUGAACAAGUAACCACUGCCAAAAAUCUUAUCCAGCUAGAGGUUGUAAACCUGAAGGCUCUUGGAUUUUACUUACAGAUCUCUGUGUUCAGUCCAUUCUUCUCUCCCAACUUGAUAGCCAUCAGAAACAAUAGGCUUUGGUCAGGAAGCAAUUCACUAAUUCCCAUUUUACCAACACACCUAUUUAAUGCCAAAAUUUCAGCUGUUGCAGCUGCUAAUAAUGAAUUCUGGUUAGCUAAUAAUCUUUAAGGUUUUCAACUAUCUAGAUGACAGUCUGUAGGCAAAGCAAAACUGUACUUCCUAUGAUUUCUUCUUGUAAAUUGAUAGGUGUUUGACUUUAUUUCUUGUGGAACUUUGCUAAAAGUGUCAGAUGAUGUUGUCACAAACCAACUGUGGUAGGCAGCCUCUAAGAUGGUCCCCAAUGAUCCCCACAUCCUGGUAUUUACUUAUAUAAUCUACUUAUCUUGAGUGUGGGCUGGAUUUAGUGACUCACUACUUAUUAAAAGAAUGUAGCAGAGGUGAUGGAUGCCACUUGUGAGAUUAGGAUUUGGGUGCUUUCUCUCUCUCUCACUCUAUCACUUGCUCUCUCUAAGGGUAACCAGCUGCCAUGUUCUGAGCUACCCUCUCGAGAGGCUCCCAUGGCAAGAAAUUAAGGGAGGACUUUGAUCAAUAUCCACAGGAACUGAGACGUUUAGUCCGAUAGGCUCUGUAGAACUGAAUCCUGCUUAUAGCUAUGUCAGUGAGCUUGUAAGUGGAUCUCAGUCGAGCCUUAGAUGAAACUGAAGCCCUCGGUGGUACCUUGAUUGCAACCCUAAAAGGAAUCUUGCUCAAGAGAGACUCAGCUUAUCCACACUGGGAAAGACAGAAGAAAGCGUACAGAGAAACAAAUAACCAAGAGAAAAAAGUUGGAUCUUCAACCAGUGGGCAAGAGAAUUCCAGGAAGAGACAUCAUAUUGUGCAAAGGUAUGAAGUUGUGGAGAGCAUGGCACAAUCUGAGACCAAGAGUCCACUGGUGAUGUGACAGCAUAGAUCACAGGGUAGGGAAAAGGGUGAGGCUGCAGGGACGAGCUGUGGACAAAGAGCUGAGGGCUGUCCUGCUAGUCAGGAUUCUUUUCCAUCACAGAAACCUAGCCAGAGAAUUGAAAUGGGAUGGGCUUGUGGGCACAGAAUGGGUAUGGGCAGAAAAGGACUUGGCCCCAGAGAAAUGGACCCAAGAUCAAAGACAUCUUAUUGCAAAGAUGAAAUGUCCCCAUGUGGUGAGAAAUACGUCAUUGAUAAUCUAGGAUUAUUUCUUUCCAACCUAAUGACUUGAAAUAAAAGGAACUCUUCUGUUAGAAAACAAUAAAUCCCAGGGAACACUGACUGGCUUUGAUUGCGUCGUGUGAUCUUCCUGCAUCAGCCAUCAUUGUGACUAGGGGAUGGGGAAAUCUGAUGGACUUGACUUGGAUUACUUACCCAUAUGUAUCUAUGGUGGGGUCAGUGUCUAUUUACAGAAGGAGGAGGUGAAAUGAUCCUGGCCACACUGAAACCAAGUAAUAGUCCCAGAGCCUUGACUGCUAUGCUAGGGAGUUUGGGUUUCAUCUGAGGGUGGCAGAAAUCAAUUUUAGGUUUUAAGAACAGAGAUGAAAUAGUCAGACGUAUGUUUGGAAAGAGCAGCCCAGGCUCAGCGGGGAGAGAUGGUUGAGUAGAUGGAGGCUGGAAGACCCAUUGCGAUGCUAAUGGCAUAAUCCAAGUAAGGCUUUAGAACGGGGCUGUGCACAUGUUGCUGGGAGUGUGUGAGGAUUUAAGAGAGAACAGAGGACACUGAUGUUUCCUAUCAGGUUCCAAGUGGGGAAAGAUAAGAACACACUAGCUGCUGUGUGAAUCAUUGACAAGGUGAAUUGUUGAAAAGGUCUUUUAAGAGGUCAUUCAGGUUCAACAAUUGGCCAGUAUCCUAGACUUAUUUAUGAUUUUACUGAAGCUAAAUUGGGGCAAGGUGCAGAAAACUUGCUUUUCUGAUUGGGAUGAUAAUAUUUCAGUUUAACAGAUAUGCAACACCCACUAUGUGCCACACCCAAAGCUUUUUGUAUUUUUCAAGAUGGGUAAAACAAGUCUCUGCCAGAACAAAGUAGCUUAAUAAUCCCAAGUUUGUAAAGAACACAUUGUAUGUCUACCCAUUAUCUCCUUCAAUCUUUACCAUAGGCCUAUGGAGAAGCACAGAAGACAUCCUGACCUCCAUUACACACUUUCUAUGAGAAGUGAACUGACUUUCUCAGUCCCUUUGGGAGAAUCUUCUUCAGUCCUGCCCACUCUGGUCUCCUGAAACCCACACAUCUUGGCUUUUUUCUAUGCCAUGAGAACUAGGGGAUUCCCUUAGGCAGCUGUGGGCUGGUAAAUGUUGAGCAGCAGAUGCUCUGAGCAGUGUUUGCUGAUUGUCGUGGUGUGAAUAAUCCCACCAUGGCAAUUUAGUGUGACAUCACUGAACAUAGAAUUGGAAAGAGUUGUGCACGAUGAGUUCUCUUGAAUCUGAAGUUUCAGUGGUCUCAACAGCCAAUCCAAACUGGACCCUGGAGGGCAGAGUGGAAAGCGAUCCUCUUGGAGUUUGGUCUAUGUGAUCUGUUAUGGGUUGAAUUGUGUCCCCCACAAAAAUAUAUGGAAAUCCUAAUCACCAAGUCAUCAGAAUGUUACCUUAUUUGGAAAAAGGGUCAUCGUAGAUGUAGUUAGUUAAGAUGAGGUCAUACUGGAGUAGGGUGGGCCUCUAAUCCAGUAUGACUGGUGUCCUUGAAAGAAGACAACCAUGUGAAGAUACUGAGACACAGAGAGAAGGUUAUGUGAAGAUGGAAGCAGAGGGUGGAGUGAUGCAUUUACAGGCUGAGGAACUCCUGAGGCUGCUGGAAGCUGGAAGAAAUAAGGAUGGAUUAUCCCCUAGGGGUUUCAGGGGGAGUAAGGCUCUACUAAUACCUUGAGUUUAGAUUCUAGCCUCCAGAUCUGUGAGACAACACGUUUCUGUUGUUUUAACUCACCCACUUUGUGGCACUAAUAGUCCCUGUCUUUUCUCCUACCCUGCACCAUCUGGUUUGAAAUACUGCUGCCUUGGGCAAAAUCCCACUGUGUUUGUGUUUUAUGGUUCCAGUGUUCUUUCAUUCCAGUCCUUCUCCAUCUGGAUCAUAUUACAGGAAUCUAGUGAAAUGAGCUAAAAUAUGGGAGAGUCCAUUGCCUUAAAGAGAUAAGAAAGUCAUCUUAUCAGCUAUAAUUAGUUGAAUACAUACUAGGUCUCAGAUGCUAUACUAGGUGUUUGUCAUGUGUUGCCACAUUUAAUUUAAUCUUAACGAUAAGCCUAUGAUUAGGCAUAAUUAUCCUUAUUCUACAAAUGGGGAGACAGAAGCUCAGUGAUAUUAGGUAACUUGCCUAAGGUCACAGAGCUAGUUAAGGAUUGCAGGGUUGUCAACUCAGGUGUGGUAGACUCAGAUUCUGCACAACAUCUUAGCACUCCACCCUGUGGCCAAUUUGUGGGAGCCUCAAUGGGCUACCACUGCACAAACACCUCAGCAAUUGCCCCAUCUGGACCCAGAGAUAAGGUAGGAUCUGAGGACAGAGGAAGAAGAUAGAGGAUGGUUAGAGAAAUCAGGUCAAUUGAAUGAGUAACCCUGAAUCCCUUUGGUAAGCUUAUCUACAUCUAGUGGUUGCCAUUUGCACGUGGCAAUAAUAAUGAUAUGCCCUCAGUGAUAGUGUAUUAACCUUAAUUCCCUAUAUGUGUACAACACUGAACCUCUGUGAUGGGUUUUUCCUUGAAUGGCUCUCAUCACUUCUCAGGCUGUGGAGCCAGAGACAGCUGGGUUCGCAUUAACCAGUGGUCACAUCUUGAGCAAGUUGCUUUAUCAUUCGUGAGUAAUGAUUCACUUCCCUCACUUGGAACCUUGUAAGGGUGUUGGAAGGACUAAAUGAGGUAAUGUGGAGUGGGUCCAGUAUAGAGCAGAUAUUAGUGGAGCAAGUUUAUUCUUCCUGUUUGUGUGAGAAAGGAGUUUUCCCCAGUACUUCUGGCCUCUGGAGCAGUGUGUAGGUCCGUGCCCAGGAUCCAAACCGGCAAACCCUGGGCCACAGAAGUGGAGAGCACAAACUCAACCACCAUGCCACUGGGCCAACGCCUGCUUACCACCUUUAUAUCCCUCUUAUAGGUUGAAUUUUGUUCUCCAAAAGAUAUGUUGAAUUCCUAACCCCUGAUACUUAUGAAUGAUACCUUAUUUGGAAAUAAAGUCUUUGCAGAUGUAAUCAAGUUAAAAUAAGGUUAUUAGGAUGGGCCCUUAAUCUAACAUGACUGGUGUUCUUAUAAGAAAAGAGAAACACCAUGUGAAGACAGAAGCACACAGGAGAGAAUGUCUUGUGACCAAGGAGACAGAAAUGCUGCAGCUACAAGCCAAGGAAUGCCUGGAACUGUUGAAAAAUAAGGAGGUGGCUUUCUAUUAUCAUCUCUCUAUUCUGAGGUGAAUGAGAGACCUGGGGCCAAGAAAAAGGAAGAGCUAGGGCAGGGGAGGGAACCCAUGUAUAUUGAGCACCUACUAUGUGUGUAUCCCCCGCUGAGUGCAUUGCAGAUGUCUCAUUUCAUCCUCACACCCCAUAAGGUGAGUGCUUUGUUCUCAUUUUCCAGAUGAGGAAACUUUAGUCAAAAAUAUUGGAUACCCAGCUCAAGGUCCCACAACGAACAAGGGACUGAGAAAAUUCCAAAGAGAGGUGCUGUCUACUGCUUCUCUGAACGGUAUUGAAAUGCUUCAUCCGGAUCAGGCGCACAGGCCCUGUGCGCAGCUACUGCUUCUUCCCAGCAGGACUGCCUGUCUCUGGGGAGCUCUCAGACUUCUGAAAUGUGUUCUGGGUGUCCUGUGUAAAUGGUGUGAGCUGGAAAGCUGUUACUUAAACUUGGGAGGCUUAGCUGAAGCAGAGGACGAAUGAAUCAGGGGUGAUAUGCUUUGGGGGCAUUUCAGCAUGCUUUGUUUUUCAAUUCUGGUGACUAUUUUUCUAGGACCACAAUGACCUGCUCUUACCUGACAAGCCAACUAUAUUUCCUUUCUCUCCUGGGAUGUGGUUAUCAGAAAGAUAGAUCAGAGUCAAUAGAUAGAUUUAGUCCAGCUUUGAGGAUUUUGCUCAUCAAGUAUCAUGCAUAGAGGUGAUGUGACAAUUAGGGCACAUGGAUGAGAGCUCUCUUUUUCAAAGGAAGUCGCUGCCUUUCUGGCACUGGUACAAGCAUACCUUUAUGCUUCUCUCUGCCAGGAUGGCCAGUUCUUGCAGUUAAAAAUUCCAAACACAAAGGUCUCUUAAUCCAAUGGUAAAAAGAAAAAAAAAAUCACAAACUAUGCAGAAUUUGCUGGAUUUGAGGAGGAUAAAAGGAGAUCUCCAUUGGAUGUAUAGUAUGUUUGACAGUUGGAUUGAAAUUUGAAGAUAUGAUGAAAGUACAGAAUAAGAAUAAAAAAAUAAUUAGAAGCUCCACAGAAAGCAAAAUAGUCUAUAAGAAUGUAAUGAUCCUCCCCAAACAAAUUAAUCUGGUAAAAAUCUGUAGAUUUCAAGACAUGAAUUUCACACAAUAGAUAGAAAAUAGGCAAAAUGGAAAAGAAAUUAUCACACAUAUAACCUGUGCAAAUAGAUUAGAAUGCAGACACACGCACACACACCUCUCUUCACAUCUGAUACACUCAUACAAAUGAAAGGACUCGUAAACACUGCUCUGUGCCUUCCAUUUUUUAAGCUUACUAUAUAUUGUGGAAUUUUCAUGUUGCUAUAUAUACCAUUCCUUUUGUAUCAUUUUGGAUAUUCUUUUUAAUGGUUUCAAUGUAUCUCAUUAUAUAAAUGUACUACAAUUUAUAUCCAUGAUCACUAUUAAUGAACAUGUAGAUUGUUUCCAGUUUAGAGCAUUUAAUUUUUUUAAUUUCUUUUCCAAGCAAUACUGCAAUGAAUGUUGUUGGCCAUCCAUUGUUAACUGCAUGUGUGGGUGUGGCUGCAGAAAAAAAUUAUUUGCAGUGGAAUUUCUGAAUUAAAGGGUCUUUUAAAAGGUAUUGACCUUUUGCCAAAUUGACCUUCAAAGUUAUGCCAAUUUAUACUCCCAUUACCACUGUGUGAAUAUCUGUUUCCUCAAAAUCUUGCCCAAACCAUGUUUUGUAAUCUCUUUAAUUGUCACCAAUCAGUUAGGUAAAAAUAAAACAAUACCUUGCCGUUUUAGUUUGCAUUGAUUAAAUCAUCGAGUAAGGUUAGGCUUCUAUUCGUAUCAUUCUAAGCAAUUCGUAUUUACUUUUCUGAACCAAGCACAUAAUAUGUGCACAAUAAAUAUUUGUUGAACAACUAAAUAUACUGUCUGUGCAGUUGUUCCUUUUAUUAUUAGUGUGAAUGGAUUCUUCAUAGAGUAAAAAAAUAAUACCCUUUAAUACAGUUACUGCAAGUAUUUAUUUCCCCAUUUGCUAUUUGUCUUUUAAUUUUGUUUAUGGAUUUUUUAGGGGGAGGCAUUUAGAAAUUUGGUUUUUACUUUUUAAUGUAGUCACAUUUAUUAUUAUUUUAAAAAUGUAGUUUUUAAAUCUUGCUAAAAGUUUUCUCUUAUUCCUCUGAAUAUACACCAUGCCCUUAAUAGGCCUCCUUUCUGCAGCUGAAUAUAUUUUGUGUAAUCCUCAAAUUACACUGUGGUCCCCAAAUUGUGCUGUGGUCCUCUUGCCUAUCAGACUCUCUUCUCAUCCUCUGCCCAUAUAAGGGCCAGCACUUGGAGUUGGAGAGGAAUUUCUUCUUGCUCAAGGAAGCCUUGCCUUUGCUGAGUACUCCUAGGUAUGAGCACCUUGCACUGUAAUGAAUUGAGGGCAGAUCUGGUUCCACGUAAUAUGUAUUAUGGAAGUCCACAGUACAAGCAGAAGAACAUUUGGAAAGUAUCCUGGGAGUAAAAAGUUAUUGCUACAAAGGGUCUUAGAUGCCAAAGUAAGAAAACUGAUCUCUCUCCUGUAGGAGUUAGAACAGGGCUCCUGGUCUUAGUGCUGACAGGGACUAGAUUUAGAUGUAAUAAGAGGGGUAUUAAAGGUUCUUGCUCUUGCUCAAUAGGCUUUCUUUUAGGAAUUCCUAUUUAGAUAUCUUUCUUUUUGGGUUGCUUCUCCAUCUGGUACCCGCUGUCCAUGGUUUAGGUGCAUAAGACAGACCUAGGGCCUGCUGACCUUACAGGGAAACCAGAGUGUGACCCUGAGAAAGCAGGCUGCAGUAGACUGGCCUUUGGACCAGAUUCAGUGAGUCAUCUGCACACAUACAUUUACUUCAGUCUACCCAUUGGAGCUACUGCUGCUGUCUGCUCAGCACACUUCUUCUCCCUUCUUCUGAUAACAUUACUCCUUCAUUUGAAGAGUGCUUCCCUGCUGCACUCCACCCUCAUAUUAUUCUUUACUCAAGAAGGCAGAUGACUCUAUCUAGGUAAGGAAUCAGAAUCUUGGCUGGAGACCCACAAGCACCCAGGGCUCUUGGAUCCAUCCAUUAUGAAAUUGCUGUAAUGAGAACUCACCCAUUGCUCAUGUUCCUAAUAUGUUCCCUGUUCCUGCCCUUCUGGGACCUGCGAUUCUUCAGGAUUCCCAUGGUCCCAGAGACUACCCCAGUAUUCAUCCAAUAAGCCCUUUUCUCCCUUUGUUUAAAUUAGUCAGAGCCUGUUGCUUGCACUCCAGGAACCCUAGCAGAAAGAAGAGCUCACCAGUGUCAAUGGAUUACAUAGAGUUGUGGGGCCAAAGCUCUGGCUUUGCUCAGUGCACAGUCCCCUGGGGAUCUCUUUAUUGGCAAGCUGAGGCUAUGGAAGGCCUUUGAUGGAUUCUCAAUCAUAAGGCUAGGAAGACUUGGUCCCCUUAUCAUACCAGAAAAUUGAGUCCCCGGGAGGGUCUGGGACUUGAUAGAACAGAGGAGUCCAUGACAAUUUUUGACAAUUUUCAUAAGAUGUAAACCAUGGUGAUUUUACCCAGGCUGAUUGUGAGCUGGUGUUCAGGACCUUCCCUAGUUUUUGGAGUCAGAGCCAGGAAGCUCUGUCAUCUGUUUGUGAUUACAGGGCCCAGAAUGCCCCACCAAAGGCCCUCUGGCGCCUUUUCUCUUUGGAAACACAUUCAGCACAUUUUUAGAAACCGCACUAAGAAGCCCUCCCUGAGAAAGUGACUAAACACUGCUUAAUAUUCUGAAAAUAUAAACAGCUGCUGAGAAGCCACUCAUAAGCUGUUUAGGGAAAGCUGACUUGGCACUGGGGAGAAGCCAGCUGUUGCUGGCUUAUGAUUGGUGGAGGUUGUAAAAUUCCUUGCAAUGUCAGUGUUGUCAAUGAAUAUAUAUUAAGCUCGUUCUCCAUCUUACACGCUAGAGCAUUCUGGUUGGACUUGCGUACUUCUGAACAUUUUGGAGGGAUGAAGCAUGCUACGAUCCGUGCUCCUUUUCCAUACUUCUCUCCCAUUACCUAUGUUAUGGGUUAAACUGUGCCUCCUCAGAAAACAUGUUUAAGUCCUAACCCCCAGUACCUCUGAAUGUGACCUUAUUUAGUAAUAGGGUCGUUGCAGAUAUAAUUACUUAAGAUAGGGUCAUACUGGAGUAAGAUGGGCCCUUAAUUCAGUAUGACUGGUGUGCAUAUAAGAAGAGGAGAGGAAGACACACAGGGAGAAUGCCAUACCAUGUGGUGACAAAAGCAGAGAUUGGAGUGAUCCAGCUGCAAGCCAUGGGAUCCCAAGGAUUAACAGCCAACACGAGAAGCUAGGAAGAGGCAAAGAAGCAUUCUCCCCUCUCCAGCUUUCAAAGAAAGCAUGGUCCUGCUUCUAGGUUCCAGACCUGUGAGACAAUCAAUUUCUGCUCUUUUAAGUCACCCAGUUUGUGGUGCUUUGUUAUAGUAGCCAUGGGAAACUGUAUACUAUAGUUUAACCAUCUCCCUAUCCUAUAUGGGACUGUCCCUCCUAUUCCCAUUCUUUCAUUCAUUUGCUCAUCAAGCAUUCAUUAAACACCAACUGUAUUCUAGAUCCAGUGUUAGGUGCUGGGAAUACAGUGGUCACAGGGCACAGUUCCAACCCUCAAGGGGCUCAGAAACUAGGAGUAGGGUAGAAACAGAUCUGCCUGCAGAGAAAUCCUCCUCUGCCUUAGGUGCUUAGCAUUUACUCUCCUUCACUGAACUGCAAGUUUGCGUGUGUUGAGUCUUUAAUCAUAUUGUUGUAAACUCCUCAAAAACUAUUUUUCUCAACUGUUUUAUCAGGAAAAUUUUUGAAUAUGCGUAACUGUUGAAAAAACGGUACAUUGAUUACCCAUAAACCCACUGCCUAGAUUCAAUGAUUGUUAAUGUUUUGCUAUAUUUGGUUUUAAAGACUAUAUUUUUAUUUCUUCAGAUCUAGAGCGUGAAUAUUGUGUCCUAUAAGAGUAAGAGUUCCGGAACUAACCUCCCUGAAUUCAGAUCCUGGCUUUACCAUCUAGUUUUGUGUCCUUAGGCAAAUUACUACCCAUCUCUGCAUCUCAGUUCCCUCAUCCAUAAAAUGGGCAUAAUAACAGUGUCCAGCUCAUGGGGAUGUUGUGAGUAAUAAAUGCAUUUAUAUGUAAAAAGUACUUAAAACAGUGCCUUUCAAGAUGUAAACAUUCAGUAAGGAUUAGCUCUUUUAAUAAUUAUUUCCUACAGUUCUUGGAAAAUAGUGGGUAUCUUAUGAGUGAGUCUGGGGUGUUUUUAUGCAUGUGAAUCAUGGGGAAUCUUGCCCUGCUUUGAUCCAUUCCCCAGAUUAUUAUUCUUUUAGGGCAUGUGCAUUUGCCUCUAUUGGGAAUGUGUCUCUCUUCCCCACAAAUUUAGGCAAACUUGUUGAGGGAUCUUUGCUCUGUUUCCACUGUAACUGUCAGAGCUGUAAGUAGUACUUGACACAUAACUUGAUGCAUAGUAAGCAUUCAGUAAAUAGCUUGCUGAAUGAGUAGUGUCUAACAUGUCGGUAUUUGUUCAUGCAUUCAUUCACUUACUCAUUUGGCAAGUAAGGGUUGAGCAUGCUCUUGGUGCUAGACACAUUACUGUAUGCUAAGGCCUCACUGGUGACUGAGACAAAGUCCCUUUCAAGAAACUUUAAACUUAGUCUUGUUCAUAUUUGAUUUUGAAUUCAUCUUUGCUUUUUUAUAUACCUCGUCUUACCACCUAGACUGUAAAAACUUUGAGACUAGAGACUAUGGUUUCUACUUUUCUGUUAUUGAACAUGGAAGUCAUGAUAAGGUUACAUACAUUAAACAGACUUUAGAAUCAGGCAAAAAUGGAAAGAAAUUAAAAUUCUUCCAUUAGAUUGACAGUGAAUAUUUUACAUUACCUAUCUUUAUCUCAAUACCCUUGUUUGUUAAGUAGGAAUACUAUUUAGCUGGCUGUUGUAAGAAUUGAAUGAAAUAAUUCACAGCACAUAGUAUGUGCUCAAUGAAUUUGUUAUCUGUUUUCUGCUCCUCCUUUGUUUCCAGGGAUGUGAUGAGUUUGAGGAUAGAUGUGCAAGAGACAGAGUUGUUCCUUUUAUAAUUUUCUGGCACCCAGUGUCUGAUCCACCAGAGCACUUGUAUAAGUUAUGCUGCCAUAAGCCAAGGAAUGCCAAAGAUUGCCAUCAAGCCACCAGAAGCUAGGGGAAAGACAUGGAAUAAAUUCUUCCUCACAGUCUUCGGAAUAAACUGACCCUGCUAGAGCAUUGAUCUUGGACUUCUAGCCUCCAGA